RNAcentral lists this ribosomal RNA (452 nucleotides) under uncultured organism. RNAcentral describes it as "partial 16S ribosomal RNA". It matches the Rfam family "Bacterial small subunit ribosomal RNA", at positions 332 to 800 of the family's 1533-position model. The record is from RNAcentral.
UACACUCCUACGGGAGGCAGCAGUGGGGAAUAUUGGACAAUGGGCGCAAGCCUGAUCCAGCCAUGCCGCGUGAGUGAUGAAGGCCCUAGGGUUGUAAAGCUCUUUCACCGGUGAAGAUAAUGACGGUAACCGGAGAAGAAGCCCCGGCUAACUUCGUGCCAGCAGCCGCGGUAAUACGAAGGGGGCUAGCGUUGUUCGGAUUUACUGGGCGUAAAGCGCACGUAGGCGGACUAUUAAGUCAGGGGUGAAAUCCCGGGGCUCAACCCCGGAACUGCCUUUGAUACUGGUAGUCUUGAGUUCGAGAGAGGUGAGUGGAAUUCCGAGUGUAGAGGUGAAAUUCGUAGAUAUUCGGAGGAACACCAGUGGCGAAGGCGGCUCACUGGCUCGAUACUGACGCUGAGGUGCGAAAGCGUGGGGAGCAAACAGGAUUAGAUACCCUUGUAGUCCCAUGA